AGGAUUAACGCUGGCGGCGUGCCUAACACAUGCAAGUCGAACGAGGUAGCAAUACCUAGUGGCAGACGGGUGAGUAACGCGUGGUCAACCUACCGUUGAGUGGGGGAUAACUAGCCGAAAGGUUAGCUAAUACCGCAUACGAGUCUCGGGGGCAUCCCUGGGCCUUAAAAGGAGCAAUCCGCUCGAUGACGGGACCGCGUCCCAUUAGCUAGAUGGUGGGGUAAUGGCCUACCAUGGCUCCGAUGGGUAGCUGGUUUGAGAGAGCGACCAGCCACACUGGGACUGAGAAACGGCCCAGACUCCUACGGGAGGCAGCAGUGAGGAAUUUUCCGCAAUGGGCGAAAGCCUGACGGAGCGACGCCGCGUGUGGGAAGAAGGCCUUCGGGUCGUAAACCACUGUCGAAGGGGACGAUAAUGACGGUACCCUUGGAGGAAGCCCGGCUAACUACGUGCCAGCAGCCGC
Molecule: ribosomal RNA, 463 nt
Filed under: uncultured bacterium
Lineage: Bacteria
Description: SSU rRNA
Rfam family: Bacterial small subunit ribosomal RNA
Source: RNAcentral